Molecule: ribosomal RNA, 418 nt
Filed under: uncultured bacterium
Lineage: Bacteria
Description: bacterial SSU rRNA
Rfam family: Bacterial small subunit ribosomal RNA
Source: RNAcentral
AGUGGCGAACGGGUGAGUAAUGCAUCGGAACGUGCCCAUCGAUGGGGGAUAACUGCGCGAAAGCGUUGCUAAUACCGCAUACGACCUACGGGUGAAAGCAGGGGACCGCAAGGCCUUGCGUCGAUGGAGCGGCCGAUGCCGGAUUAGCUAGUUGGUGAGGUAAAGGCUCACCAAGGCGACGAUCCGUAGCUGGUCUGAGAGGACGACCCAGCCACACUGGGACUGAGACACGGCCCAGACUCCUACGGGAGGCAGCAGUGGGGAAUCUUGGACAAUGGGCGAAAGCCUGAUCCAGCAAUGCCGCGUGUGGGAAGAAGGCCCUCGGGUUGUAAACCACUUUUGGCGGGAAAGAAAUGGUCUGUGCUAAUACCACGGAUUGAUGACGGUACCCGCAGAAUAAGCACCGGCUAACUACGUG